CCUACGGGAGACAGCAGUGAGGAAUAGUGGUCAAUGGGCGCGAGCCUGAACCAGCCAAGUAGCGUGAAGGAUGACUGCCCUACGGGUUGUAAACUUCUUUUAUAAAGGAAUAAAGUGAGGCAAGUGUGCCUUUUUGUAUGUACUUUAUGAAUAAGGAUCGGCUAACUCCGUGCCAGCAGCCGCGGUAAUACGGAGGAUCCGAGCGUUAUCCGGAUUUAUUGGGUUUAAAGGGAGCGUAGCUGGGUUGUUAAGUCAGUUGGGAAAGUUUGCGGCUCAACCGUAAAAUUGCCAGUGAUACGGGCAGUCUUUAGUACAGUUUAGGUAGGCGGAUUUCGUUGUGUAGCUG
Molecule: ribosomal RNA, 346 nt
Filed under: uncultured bacterium
Lineage: Bacteria
Description: partial 16S ribosomal RNA
Rfam family: Bacterial small subunit ribosomal RNA
Source: RNAcentral